AGAGUUUGAUCCUGGCUCAGGAUUAACGCUGGCGGCGUGCAUAACACAUGCAAGUCGAACGAUGAAACUUUAAUGAACCCUUCGGGGAGAAUUAAAGCGGAUUAGUGGCGAACGGGUGAGUAACGCGUGAGUAACCUGCCUUACACAAGGGGAUAGCCUUUGGAAACGAAGAAUAAUACCCUAUAAAACCAUAAAAGCACAUGCAAUUAUGGUCAAAGUAUUAGCGGUGUAAGAUGGACUUGCGUCUGAUUAGCUAGUUGGUGAGAUAAAAGCCCACCAAGGCAACGAUCAGUAGCCGGCUUGAGAGAGUGUACGGCCACAUUGGGACUGAGACACGGCCCAGACUCCUACGGGAGGCAGCAGUGGGGAAUUUUGCACAAUGGGGGAAACCCUGAUGCAGCGACGCCGCGUGAUUUAGAAGGCCUUCGGGUUGUAAAAAUCUUUUGUAUAGGAAGAAAAUGACAGUACUAUACGAAUAAGGUCCGGCUAAUUACGUGCCAGCAGCCGCGGUAAUACGUAAGGACCGAGCGUUGUCCGGAAUCAUUGGGCGUAAAGGGUACGUAGGCGGCUAGAAAAGUUAGAAGUCAAAGGCUAUAGCUCAACUAUAGUAAGCUUCUAAAACUAUUUAGCUUGAGAGAUGGAAGGGAAAGUGGAAUUCCUAGUGUAGCGGUGGAAUGCGCAGAUAUUAGGAGGAAUACCGGUGGCGAAGGCGACUUUCUGGCCAUCUUCUGACGCUGAGGUACGAAAGCGUGGGUAGCAAACAGGAUUAGAUACCCUGGUAGUCCACGCCGUAAACGAUGAGUGUUAGUGUCUGGAGUCAAAUCUGGGUGCCGCAGCAAACGCAUUAACACUCCGCCUGGGGAGUACGCACGCAAGUGUGAAACUCAAAGGAAUUGACGG
RNAcentral lists this ribosomal RNA (900 nucleotides) under uncultured bacterium. RNAcentral's name for it is "bacterial SSU rRNA". It matches the Rfam family "Bacterial small subunit ribosomal RNA", at positions 8 to 916 of the family's 1533-position model. The record is from RNAcentral.